This 1269-nucleotide long non-coding RNA is filed under the name Zea mays. RNAcentral's name for it is "long non-coding RNA (ZMAY_LNC004066)". The record is from RNAcentral. Lineage: Eukaryota; Viridiplantae; Streptophyta; Magnoliopsida; Poales; Poaceae.
CUAGCUCAGACUAUUUUCGCCACAAGGAGUCAUGGUGCAGGGAGAUCUGCUGUCCGCCGCCAUGACUAGGCAUGCACACGCUGUCGUACGGACCUGGCAAGGGCAGUAGGGUAUUCGCUGGUAGUCGGGGAUGGUGCGCGUUGCAUCAUCAGGCAAAGCGCGACGAUCUCGGUUGAUGAAUUCCUCACCGGGAUGGAGCUCCACCGCAGGUCUGUCGCGUGUCGUGGCCAUGGCAUUAGCGCUGCUAGAAUCACAGUGAGCAACCCUUCAACAGUAUGGUAUCGUUACCCUCUAUGUGAUUACUUUCUUUGAUUGGAGUUCGAACAUGGAAGUCAAGCUUGUUUAGAGGUCAGCCAUGGCGCCUCCAUGGGCACUCUGUGCCGCCGUGUGCGGAGUUGGGGAAGAGAGAGUUGAGGGUGAUGUGGUAGAGGAGCGUUGACCAUGGGAUCUUGAUCCUGUGAUCAGGACUGGGUACCAGUUCGUGGGGGGAUCCUGGGCAUUGAAGUUUAAUCUAGCGGACAGGAUGGGUGAGGGAGCUAUACGGAUCGUGGUCAUUGGAUCCUGGAUGAAGAGUGCAGAUGAGAUCCCAGGUUAACCGUUCGACUUUUUAAUCUGGGCGGUCGGGUUUAGAUCCGACGGUUGAGAUGUGCCCAUACCUCUUCGACCUGGCAAAAUCACUAAAGAUACCCUGGACUUUAUAAUAACUAACCCGCCAUCCAGUCCAAUUGGGAAGUAAUUACAGAUAGAUACGAUUUUAUUCAAAAUAGACCCUGCCCAAUAGAACCCACAGUACAUAUAAGCUUUGAAAUUUAUAAAAUAAAUCUGAAAUUGAUUUUUAAUAAAAAAAUAAUUCCAGAACCUUGUAUAAUUCAUAUUUAAUUAAUUUUAACUCCAAAUUGAUUCAUUCCAGUGGCAUUAAUUUUGUUUUAAUGUUGUUUAUCACCAAGUGACUCUGUUUAGCCAUGAAAUUUGGAUUAAAAUUAUUCACUUGAAUUUAGUCUAUACUAAGCACUAGAAACUUAAAAAAUCAUAACUCGAUAACCGUAACUCCGAAUUUAGCGAUUCUUGUUCCUUUGAUCUUGUUACAACAUGUAGAAUAUUCUUACGAAUUUUGUUCUUAUGCUUGGUGUAAUGUUAAUUUUGCCUAUGCCAUGUUUGUUUGUAUUUCUACGACUAGCGCGAGGUUACGAGCCACCUGAAGAGCAAGUUGGUACCUGGAAUCUCAAUUCCCAGGCAAGUUGUGCCCUUGAUCACUUCUUUUUACCCAAU